RNAcentral lists this non-coding RNA (237 nucleotides) under Peptoclostridium acidaminophilum. RNAcentral describes it as "T-box sequence". It matches the Rfam family "T-box leader". From Rfam's summary of the family: Uncharged tRNA acts as the effector for transcription antitermination of genes in the T-box leader family. T-boxes are found upstream of many aminoacyl-tRNA synthetase genes and some amino acid biosynthetic genes usually in Gram-positive bacteria. Lineage: Bacteria; Bacillati; Bacillota; Clostridia; Peptostreptococcales; Peptoclostridiaceae. The record is from RNAcentral.
UUAAAUCUUGUGAUUGGAAGAGUAGGUACUGUGAUUGUUGUACAGCGAGCCGGCGGCGGUGGGAGCCCGGCACAUAGCUUUGCCGAAACGUAUCCAUGAAGAGGUUUUUCCAAAGGCAUGCCAGCGGUAUGCGUGAGUAGAAAAACCCGGCCAGCCCGUUAAAGCGUUCGAGAUAAAAUGGCAGCAAUAUUGCCAUUUUAAAAAGAGUGGUACCGCGAAACAGCUUUCGUCUCUUUG